UUUCAGUUGCCAUAAGAGUUUUCCAGAGGUUGGAGACAUUGAACUUCAAGAAGCUUGAGUUCUGGAUCCAGUUAGAAGUUCCUGGCAGAAAGAGAUGAGCACAAUACAGCUUCAAACCAUGCAGAACCAUUCCAAUAUGCAGAAGACAACAGGGAGGUAGUGCCAGUGGCCAUAAGAUGAGCUUUGCCUUGUCUUAUUGUUAAAAUCUCUGCAGAAGGAGGAUCCCAACUUCUUUUCCAUACCAAGGGAUGUAUGCCAGAACAUGUUGUCAGGCUGCAUUUGUUCAGAUCUAUCCCCCAGAUCAUGUGAAGAUGCCUUCAACUCUUUUGAAUAUUCAGCUCUGCUCAGAUAAAUGUUGUUGGGAGAGGGGGUCACAGCUUUAGAAAUGGUUUCCCAUGGUCUUUUUAUUUAUUCAAAAUAAACUUGGUGUGACAACUA
Ictidomys tridecemlineatus (thirteen-lined ground squirrel) is the source of this 438-nucleotide non-coding RNA. The record is from RefSeq and is a predicted model, not a curated record. NCBI's taxonomy places the organism in Eukaryota, Metazoa, Chordata, Mammalia, Rodentia, Sciuridae.